GUCGGGGUGGCGGAAUUGGUAGACGCGCACGCUUGAGGGGCGUGUGGAGCAAUCCGUGGGGGUUCAAGUCCCCCCCUCGACACCA
This 85-nucleotide transfer RNA is filed under the name Vampirovibrio sp. RNAcentral's name for it is "tRNA-Leu". It matches the Rfam family "tRNA". Rfam says of the family: Transfer RNA (tRNA) molecules are approximately 80 nucleotides in length. Their secondary structure includes four short double-helical elements and three loops (D, anti-codon, and T loops). Further hydrogen bonds mediate the characteristic L-shaped molecular structure. tRNAs have two regions of fundamental functional importance: the anti-codon, which is responsible for specific mRNA codon recognition, and the 3' end, to which the tRNAs corresponding amino acid is attached (by aminoacyl-tRNA synthetases). tRNAs cope with the degeneracy of the genetic code in two manners: having more than one tRNA (with a specific anti-codon) for a particular amino acid; and 'wobble' base-pairing, i.e. permitting non-standard base-pairing at the 3rd anti-codon position. The record is from RNAcentral. Lineage: Bacteria; Bacillati; Candidatus Melainabacteria; Vampirovibriophyceae; Vampirovibrionales; Vampirovibrionaceae.